Molecule: non-coding RNA, 28 nt
Filed under: Cricetulus griseus (Chinese hamster)
Lineage: Eukaryota; Metazoa; Chordata; Mammalia; Rodentia; Cricetidae
Source: RNAcentral
UGUCACUAACCUAAUAGUCCCUUUCGUU